Molecule: ribosomal RNA, 301 nt
Filed under: uncultured bacterium
Lineage: Bacteria
Description: partial 16S ribosomal RNA
Rfam family: Bacterial small subunit ribosomal RNA
Source: RNAcentral
CAGUCGCCGCGGGAAUACGGAGGGUGCAAGCGUUAAUCGGAAUUACUGGGCGUAAAGCGCACGCAGGCGGUCUGACAAGUCAGAUGUGAAAUCCCCGGGCUCAACCUGGGAAUGGCAGUGGAUACUGGCAAGCUAGAGUGUGUCAGAGGAUGGUGGAAUUCCCGGUGUAGCGGUGAAAUGCGUAGAGAUCGGGAGGAACAUCAGUGGCGAAGGCGGCCAUCUGGGACAACACUGACGCUGAGGCACGAAAGCGUGGGGAGCAAACAGGAUUAGAUACCCCUGUAGUCCCUGUUUCUUAUAC